CCCGCCGGGCAGCACCACCCUAUAUAAACCUCACCCCAGUUAGUCUCGUCCUCUCUCGCCCUUGUUCAAAGCAACCUGACAGCUGUUUCCCCAAUAAACCCUUGCCUUGGGUGCUCCUGUUUCUGCUCAUUUUCUUUCAGUCGGGGACUCUGUAAGGCAAGGGUGUGCCCAGCAUCAACAUUCACCUUCUGAGGAGGCAGAUCUGUGAUUGCGUGGAAGUAGCAGAAACUGAGGUGACAAUUGAGAGGUCAUGGCCAGGGCUACUCUCUGGUGGAUACUCAAAGGUCCCCCAGAAGAAACUAGGUCCUGACAGCCCAUCCUGUUAAUCAAAACCACCCCCAACAGCUGUUAAAGUUUCAGAGAUCCAGCCAUGGAUUCAUCAGCCUCAAAUUAAGAAGGCCCAUCUCAGCAACUCUUGGGAGGCCCACACCAACAAGACAAUUCCCUUAAAGAUCACUCUGAGGAGACAACACACUCAAGACCUGCUCCUGUCACUCCAGGCACUGACAGGCCAACAACACACAGCUGGCCUGAGGACCUCAACCCACGAACCACUGCUGUGCUUUCCAGACUUGAUCUUUCCCUGACAUCUUUAUUCUUGCCUACCUCAGAGUGACUCCCUUUAUUUUGGCGUAGGCUUAAUAACUGUUGCUCCAGAGGACUGGAAUACUUUCAAAGAUGUUUCCUCUUAGCUAUAUGUUGGGGUUUUAUGUUGGUAUUUGCUAUCCUAUCUUCUUUAGAUUGACUCAGGAAAACCCUGACAACUGGUGGAGUGUCCGAGGUGACAGGAAGACAUGGAUAGGUGCUAUAUCAGGACCUCUCCUUGGUACCCUCAUGUUAUUAACAAUCGGUUCAUGCUUUAUAAAUUGGUUCAUAUGCUUUAUUUCUCAAUGCCUUAACUCCAUUAAGAUCCAAAAACCAUACCAAUUGAUGGUAACUUCAAGGUCUGAUGCUUACACUUACACAUGUAAAAACAUAGACCAUCAAACAAGUUGAAGAUUCAACUGUAAUCAAAAAAGAGGAUGGAAUGAACAAGGAAAUGAUUUCUGACCAGAAAGAGCCUAUGCCUCAGGUAAUCAGGUAGCAAACAAAAGGCUCCUCCUAGCUCUGACCCCUCUCACACCUAAAAC
Molecule: long non-coding RNA, 1130 nt
Filed under: Heterocephalus glaber (naked mole-rat)
Lineage: Eukaryota; Metazoa; Chordata; Mammalia; Rodentia; Bathyergidae
Description: lncRNA (ENSHGLG00100048354.1)
Source: RNAcentral